RNAcentral lists this long non-coding RNA (266 nucleotides) under Callithrix jacchus (white-tufted-ear marmoset). Its description in RNAcentral is "lncRNA (ENSCJAG00000081628.1)". The record is from RNAcentral. Lineage: Eukaryota; Metazoa; Chordata; Mammalia; Primates; Cebidae.
ACAGACUUAUUUUCUUUCUUCUUUUAGGAUAAAUGACUUUGAAUGAGAGCACCGAGAUAAUCUUCUGCCUUUCAAAUAUCCUUCUCUGGCCAACAUUCCACCACUGAGGCACUUUCCGGUUUGUCAAGCCAAGUAUGCCUGUCAUGUUGGAACCCAGCCCUGGGACACUCACCAACUUCUCUUUGUGGUAGUAUCUCCCUUGAUUGUGUUCCCAUUCUUCCUUAUCUCCCUAAAGCCUAUCAAUCCAUUCACGUGGUCACUGACUA